UACAGAGGUCUCAAGCGUUGUUCGGAUUCAUUGGGCGUAAAGAGCUCGUAGGCGGCCUGUUGCGUCCGCUGUGAAAUCCCGGGGCUCAACCCCGGGCCUGCAGUGGAUACGGGCUGGCUAGAGGCAGGCAGGGGAGAACGGAAUUCCUGGUGUAGCGGUGAAAUGCGCAGAUAUCAGGAGGAACACCGGUGGCGAAGGCGGUUCUCUGGGCCGAUACUGACGCUGAGGCGCGAAAGCGUGGGGAGCAAACAGG
Molecule: ribosomal RNA, 253 nt
Filed under: uncultured bacterium
Lineage: Bacteria
Description: partial 16S ribosomal RNA
Rfam family: Bacterial small subunit ribosomal RNA
Source: RNAcentral